This 3417-nucleotide long non-coding RNA is filed under the name Nicotiana tabacum (common tobacco). RNAcentral's name for it is "long non-coding RNA (NTAB_LNC005077)". The record is from RNAcentral. Lineage: Eukaryota; Viridiplantae; Streptophyta; Magnoliopsida; Solanales; Solanaceae.
GAACAGAUUAUUAGUUCAGUAAAUACCUCCCCCUCCCCCUCUUCGCUAAACCUGCCAUAACCUUUACUUUUACCGAGACACCACAAUUCAUUUCUCACUACCACAACCUCUCCCUCUUCUCCGCCAUAGUUCCACCACUUCCACGCCCUCGUCACAGCCCCAAAAACUCUCCUCCAUAAACGCCGCCCUCCUUACAAUCGUGACACUAGUUUCCUCGACCAACCCCACCACUUGAGAACUGUCUGCCACCAUCAAAACCAACAGCGAUGGCCGCCCAACUUCAAUAAUUUCACCACACUUACUGUCAGACUCAUGCAAUCUAUCCUAAAGCCAUCAAUUCAUCCCGCGAAAUCGUCGUCGGUAGAUCUAUUUGAGGUUUCUUCGCUAGAAAUCGGUGGCUGAGGGAGAACAAGAGGAAGUUAUAAAUUUUUAAGGUUUCUUCCUUAAUCAUCUUUUUUAGCUUAUUAAUUUCUUGCUGAGUCCAUUAUUUUCUUUCAAUUGAAGCUUUGAAUUUAAAUUGGGGAUCUCUUGAGGUAUCUUAUAUUAUAGUUCCUUCCCUUUGCUCUUGAUUUUUUUUAAAGAAAAUAGAAUAUUUAAUAUUUCUAUCUAAUUUUCGUUUAUAUCUUUAUAGUUGUUUGUAAGAAGGAUGCACUGAUUAUGUUUUCUGUGUUGUUUAUAGUUAUAAGUUUUGCCCAAUUACAAGUCCCAGCUUAGGUUUUGCUUUGCCUCUCACCUUUGGUGGUUUACUAGGGCUGCUAUAUCUAUGCUUGAGCAGGUACAAUUUGGUCUGCACUCCAAAAAUAGUUUGAAUUUUGAUACUAUGAAAACAACUAAUUAUCUUUUGGUAGUGGCCAUCUUCUGUUUUAUAAUAUUCAUAUGAGGACUUUGUAUGUCUAUAAAUGUGUUACUUUGAUCUAAUAGUUGUUGAAACAUUUUUUUUCUUUAGUUCCUCUCGCUUAAGCAUUAAAGUUUAAAGUUUUUCUGUUUAAAUAUCAUGUAUUAGCUUGAGAGUAUAUAUAUAUAUAUAUAUAUAUAUAUACACACACACACACUUGAAGAUUGUAUACCUUGUAAUGCUUAGUGAAUAAUAAUCAAACUGUAAUCAUAUUUUUGACUCUUUCCUUCAAUAUAUUUCUAAUAUUGAUUACAUGGUGUCAAUCUGUUGUGACUAGAAAAGUUCAAGAAACGAAACUUUAAAAACAUAUCUAAUGCUUUUGUUCGUUGUAAUACUUUGGUAUUGUUCAAUAUUCGAUACUUCUUUAUUUUCAUUUGUUUGUACCUUUGUGUUGUCUAUGCUCCAAGGUUUAGACCUAUCGUAACAUGUGUUUUAAUGACAUGUUACUUGAUAAAGAACUAAUACCAAUGCUAGUAUCUUGUAACAAUCUGAAUGGAUGGAAGUAAGUUAUUGCAACUGGUUGACCAAUUUAGCCAUGGUUUCAUGAUUUCAUCGGCCAAGUGUUAGACAUAGUUUAUGUAAUGCACUUUUGUGGGAUUGAGGCACAAACUAUUUGUAUUAUGAAGAACUAUAUAUUAUUUCUGGAGAUUGUUUUCCCAAUGUAAUUGGAGAUUGCUGUUUUAACCUGUAGAAGAAUAGAAAAUAUUUAACUACUGGAGGUCCCUCUUCAUCUAUUUUUAUUGUGAAGAACAAAAUAUAUUUUCUGAAAGCGAAAACGACAAUUUGAUCUUGUUUGUCAAUUUCUUAAUUUAUGUUUAAUUGUUAUGAUUUAAUAGAAUUUGAAGAUUGCGUACCUUGAAGUGAUUUCGAUCUUAAACCAUUUUUUUGGAAUUUGUGGAGUGAACAUCUUAAAACUGUGGUUUCGAUCUUAAUAGCAACCUCUUAGAUCUGUGAGUGCAUUUGUGGAUGCAGGGAAGUGAAAUAGUUGUCGAAAAAGUUCCCUUUCUCCAAAUCUUUUCUUAACUAAGAUAUAAAGUUGAAUAGCUUUCACCGUGAUGUAAUUUACUUAUAAUAUUUUCAUUUGCCUGUAACUCCGUUGGCUGCCAGUAGCAAUUGCUAAUUCAAUUGUUAUAUUUUCAUUUUGUUAGGUUUGCAAUUGGCUUUAUCUCCGACUAUGGCCUUCUUGAAGGUAUACCCAUUUUCUUAAUCUUCUUACCCUUUUAUUCCUUUACAUUUCUUUUUCCACUUACGCGAGCUUGAAAUUAAGACUGAGGUAGUGAUCAUUAUUGAAGGUGACUGUUAAGCCUUCAAACAUCAACUAUGAAAGUGGUAAAAUUAGCUAAAUUAUUAUCUUUCUUUGACAUCUUGAUGUGUUUGGUCAUAUUGCUACGCUCCUUGUACUACCACAAGUUUUCUUCCAAUCUAAGAUAAUACAAAGUUCAUCUCUGUUUGGACUUUGCCUAAAUUCCUUGAGAUUCUUCUUUAUCAUAGUUGGUACUUGUGAUGAGGACGUACAAUGCAGUUAACACGCUUUUGAAUCAUAAUGUUUUUGCAUAAUCCUUUAUUCUUGUUGUGCUGAAUCUGACAGUUCUUUUUGCAAUCUAUUUCUUGAUGUCACAACUAUAGUUUUUAGUUUCUAAUUUUAUCUUUACCUUUCUUUUGACUGGGCAUUCAACUAUGUCAAAAUUUCAGUUUGGAUUGUUAGUAGUAUGUACUUCAACAUUUAGACGAUUAUGCUUCCAAGUGAAUAAUAAAUUAUAUUGAGAAAUUGAGCUUCUUGUUAGUACUUUUUCAGGUGAAAAACUUUGAACUUAGCUCCAUUUAUCAAUAUAGCAGUUUAAAUAUUUCUGGGUUGGACUGGUCAAUUGGAUGAUGGACCAUAUGUUAGAAAAAGCUGUCAAAUUAUAUGGCCUUCUGUGCGUGUAGAAAUUCACCAUCAUCUUGUUGUAGCAAAUCAUUCUAUGUUAUAUUACUUAUGCUUUGGUAGUUUUAUACCUCUUUCCAUCAUUUCAAGUAACAAUUAGAGAAGAAAACUUGAGCACAAUUUGCAUAAUGAAUUCUUUUGUUGCAUAAAAAAUAAUGCUUGGUUGAGUACUUAAACUAUUCCCUAUUCCACAAUAGCAACGCUUAUCUAGGACCUCACUAUUUUAUAUCUUAGCUUUCAGCUUACUUUAUUUUUUGACUUUUUUUAAUUAAUUCAUGUAAUUCCAAAUCUGACAAAGAUUGAUUUUUUUAAUGGUUUUAUAGGUGAAGCAAAUGAACAAGGAUAGAUGAAAGUUGUGAAGAUCUUACUCAAGAGUAUUGGUUGAUUGUUGUUAGACUUUUAGAUGUUCUAGAAUCUUUUAUUUUAGAAACUUUUGUCAACUUAUGUAUUAACUCUUGAAUUGCCUAACGACAUUGUAUAUUUAGCUUUUAUAUAUAGAUAAUACUAGUUGGAUAUUUUAGAUAUAAUUUUAUAUAUUGAUGAGCAGUUUCCUUUUGAGAUUUACAUAAUUUAUUAUAUAGGUAAAUAAAUGUGGUAU